RNAcentral lists this non-coding RNA (239 nucleotides) under Lentilactobacillus parafarraginis. RNAcentral's name for it is "Lactobacillus parafarraginis T-box sequence". It matches the Rfam family "T-box leader". Rfam says of the family: Uncharged tRNA acts as the effector for transcription antitermination of genes in the T-box leader family. Lineage: Bacteria; Bacillati; Bacillota; Bacilli; Lactobacillales; Lactobacillaceae. The record is from RNAcentral.
AAAGAUACAGUGAAAAAGAUGAGUAGUGUUUAGCGAUAUCUGAAGAGAGUCCCGGUUGAUGAAAAGGGAUGGUAUUUCUGGCACGAAGAUGGUCUUGGAUUAUCUUUUAGUACCGAGCAGGGUGUGAAGUACUAACGGAUCCGCACGUUACCGCGGCAGAGUAUGAAACGUACUCGUGGAGAAGUCGCCUGUGAAGGCGAUUUAAAUCAAGGUGGUAACACGGCCAAGUCGUCCUUUAU